CGAGAGGAGGGAGCUGUCGAAGGCGGGAUCAGUAACUGGGGUGAAGUCGUAACAAGGUAGCCGUAUCGGAAGGUGCGGCUGGAUCACCUCCUUU
Clostridiales bacterium CHKCI001 is the source of this 94-nucleotide ribosomal RNA. It matches the Rfam family "Bacterial small subunit ribosomal RNA", at positions 1440 to 1533 of the family's 1533-position model. The record is from Rfam. NCBI's taxonomy places the organism in Bacteria, Bacillati, Bacillota, Clostridia, Eubacteriales.